GGCCAGGGCCAGGGCCAGGGCCAGGGCUGGCUGGGAAAGCUCUAGGCUGAUGACUGCCAGACUGGGGCCCUGACACAAAGGGGCAGAGAAGGUGCUGGGGCUAUGGGGAAGUGGCCAAGGGAAGCAGGCAGUAGAGGAGAACUGGAGGUGGGCAGUAAGUGGCUGCCGUGAGAGUGUCCCUGGGUCAGGGCCCCUCACCCUUUUCCCCUGACUUGUCAGUGAUGAGAGUGGCUAAGCCAGACUGCAGUUUGACCUUGGAGAAAGGGGCUAGACUGAGGUCUGCAGUGAGCCAUUGAGGUGACUGAUAGAACCAGAAGCUGCUGGUCUCCUGGAAAGUGGGGAGAGCCAGCAGAGCGAGCACAGCUGGAGAAGCAGAUGCCAUCCGGGAGUGACAUGAGUCUGACAGUGAGGAUGGUGGAGACCGAGAAAAUAAUGUAGUGGUGCUUCACCCUUGUGAAGGCAUGCUGCUGAAAGAGCAAAUUCCCUAAGCAACCAGCAAGAGGUGCUGCUGUGAGAUGCUGCUUUUCCAGCGUACACAGGAGGUAUUAGCAGAGAAAACCAUGCUAUGAUCAACAGACCCACAAGAUAUUUCCUGAUUCUGAAAAUCAUUUGAGCCAUGACUGCAGCUGGACCAGAUCCCAGGAGUCCAGAGAGGCCAGCAAAUCGCCUUCCUCGGAGUAGCAACAUAACAGGAACAUCUGUUGACAUAAGGAGGGAGAAAAAAAUAAUGCCACAGUGGACACCUCUCUUUGCAUACAUGAACUCCCUAGACCUGAGGGCAGUGAUAUGUUUCCUAUUGUGAGCCUGUCAAUGGUUCUGUGCAGUCCUUUUUUUGGUGGCUCACUUUUGCUGAACAGGGUCUUCUCUGUUUAACUCAAAUUAGCCCAGUCUGUCAACUUAAUAUAAAACAAAUCAAUCAGCCCUUAAACUCCUGGUUUGCAGUCCUCCUUUGAUUCCAUUUUUAGUUCCCUAUAGGCAGCCUGGCAUGGGGCUAUUAUCCCAGGCCCUUCUGCCUCCCUUUACCUUCUGUUCUUCUUCCUUUAUUGCUUGGCUCAUUUUCCUUAUUGGUGUCAACUCUGGGUGUGUGUCUCUGUGACUGGCAGUUCUGGCAGCUGAGCCUGGGUGUGGUCAGCCUGGUUGCAUAUAAGUGGGGAAGACUCUCUUUCCGCCACAUAUGUUCUGUGUGAAGUUUGCAAACCCCAUUGCAGAGCCAUAUGGGAGACUGAGCAAAUGAGAUAUAUAUGCUGUGUCCUGAAUCACCAGUUUCAGAGCACUCAGGUCAACCUCUGGCCUUCCCUGCAGGGAUUAGGUGUGCAUGCUUGUUAAGAUUCCCAAGGUAUCAGAGGUAGCAGAUUAGGGCAGCUGGGGAAUGAGCAUGGGUUCAAUACAGAAGUGCCUUAGAAUCUUAAUAGGUGAGAGAGGAAAUGGAACUAGCAAAUAGCUGCAGUAGAUGGAAGCCCUCUCUCAGGGCUAGCUGUACUAUUUUUUUUUUUUUUUUGACACUCCAGACAAGGUCAGAUUCCCAAUCUGCUGGAGGGGAGAAUUUAGCUGAAAGGCCCCUUUUCUUCCCAUCACUCUGUUGGAAAAGGGAGAUCAGCUCAGCCCACGAGCUGCAAUUCCCCCAGAGUUUGCUUAGUUUAUUUUUGGAGACCAGCCUUAUCCUCUCCUGUAUCUUAGGAGUAUGAUGAGUCCAAGUAAAUAAGUUCCUUAAUAGAUUCUGUGGCACUCAGCACAGGAACAUGAGAUGUAACACCCUAGUAACUGAUGUGACCGGAGGAAUGGCUUUACCUAAGUUCUAUGCUUCUGUCUAUGAGAUGCUUUUAAUGACUCCUCUAGGGGUCCAAGAUUGAAGAUGGAGACAGACCUGAGGCAGGGGCCUCAGAAAAAAGCCUUAUAGUGACUAUUUGUUAGAGCUAGUCAAAUACUAAUCCUCAGUUACAUUUGAUUUUAGUCAU
Molecule: long non-coding RNA, 1955 nt
Organism: Dermochelys coriacea (leatherback sea turtle)
Lineage: Eukaryota; Metazoa; Chordata; Testudines; Dermochelyidae
Exons: 3
Source: RefSeq, a predicted model, not a curated record